This 29-nucleotide non-coding RNA is filed under the name Mus musculus (house mouse). The record is from RNAcentral. Lineage: Eukaryota; Metazoa; Chordata; Mammalia; Rodentia; Muridae.
GACAAAUGUCAAAAACCUUGGAUGAUCCU